RNAcentral lists this transfer RNA (72 nucleotides) under Clostridiales bacterium. RNAcentral describes it as "tRNA-Glu". It matches the Rfam family "tRNA". From Rfam's summary of the family: Transfer RNA (tRNA) molecules are approximately 80 nucleotides in length. The record is from RNAcentral. Lineage: Bacteria; Bacillati; Bacillota; Clostridia; Eubacteriales.
UGCACUGUCGUCUAAUGGUAAGGCACCUGCUCCUCAGGCAGGAGAUUUAUGGUUCGAUUCCAUACGGUGCAU